UACGGGGGGGGCAAGCGUUGUUCGGAAUUACUGGGCGUAAAGGGCUCGUAGGCGGCCAACUAAGUCAGACGUGAAAUCCCUCGGCUUAACCGGGGAACUGCGUCUGAUACUGGAUGGCUUGAAUCCGGGAGAGGGAUGCGGAAUUCCAGGUGUAGCGGUGAAAUGCGUAGAUAUCGGGAGGAACACCGGUGGCGAAGGCGGCCUUCUGGACGGAUACUGACGCUGAGGCACGAGGGCCAGGGGAGCAAACGGG
Molecule: ribosomal RNA, 253 nt
Filed under: uncultured bacterium
Lineage: Bacteria
Description: partial 16S ribosomal RNA
Rfam family: Bacterial small subunit ribosomal RNA
Source: RNAcentral